AUUGAACGCUGGCGGCAGGCCUAACACAUGCAAGUCGAACGGUAACAGGAAGCAGCUUGCUGCUUUGCUGACGAGUGGCGGACGGGUGAGUAAUGUCUGGGAAACUGCCUGAUGGAGGGGGAUAACUACUGGAAACGGUAGCUAAUACCGCAUAACGUCGCAAGACCAAAGAGGGGGACCUUCGGGCCUCUUGCCAUCGGAUGUGCCCAGAUGGGAUUAGCUAGUAGGUGGGGUAACGGCUCACCUAGGCGACGAUCCCUAGCUGGUCUGAGAGGAUGACCAGCCACACUGGAACUGAGACACGGUCCAGACUCCUACGGGAGGCAGCAGUGGGGAAUAUUGCACAAUGGGCGCAAGCCUGAUGCAGCCAUGCCGCGUGUAUGAAGAAGGCCUUCGGGUUGUAAAGUACUUUCAGCGGGGAGGAAGGGAGUAAAGUUAAUACCUUUGCUCAUUGACUUACCCGCAGAAGAGCCCCGCA
Molecule: ribosomal RNA, 478 nt
Filed under: Escherichia coli
Lineage: Bacteria; Pseudomonadati; Pseudomonadota; Gammaproteobacteria; Enterobacterales; Enterobacteriaceae
Description: bacterial SSU rRNA
Rfam family: Bacterial small subunit ribosomal RNA
Source: RNAcentral